Oreochromis aureus is the source of this 5999-nucleotide long non-coding RNA. The record is from Ensembl. NCBI's taxonomy places the organism in Eukaryota, Metazoa, Chordata, Actinopteri, Cichliformes, Cichlidae.
CUGUUUUGCAGUUUACACCUCUCCACGCUGCGUGCAUUAAAAUCAAUUGUUUGAAUGACCUCUUCUGGACUAUCAUUGUUUUACUCUCAUCCUCAAUUUCGAACCCGUAACAUUUGGUGCAUUGGCCGAGGUUGAGGGAGAGAAGUUGGAGAAUGAGACUGAGAGGGUCCAAGGUGCUCAAACAGGCAGACACGAGUCAGUGGUCGAAGUGAGUGGACAUAAGCCGGCUUAUUGAAAGGUAAGGCACUACCUGUUGAAUUAUUUCCAAACAGUGCUGAAUUGGUUCUGACAAAAUUGAAAGUCUACUCACUGAAAUUACUGGUAAAGGUCUGUUUUGAUUUUGGUGAAAAUCUCAUGAGAAUUGAAGUUGAAGUAAUGAUAAUGUAAGGUUAAGUGACAGUACUGAUUAAAGGAAAUGCAGUUGGACUGCUAAGGAAAGAGAAUUUAAAGUAGUUGGACUACUAAAUAGGAAUAGGUAAAAGUAACGGAAAUAGGAAAAGGACAAGUUAAAGUAGUUGGACUACUGAAUUUAGGAUAUAGGUCAUUUGAAAUCUGUAUAUGGUCAUACAGUUAUAAUUGAAUAUAAAGCUGGGCUUGGACAUCAAUAAAGUCGGUUUGGUGGUUUCAUAGGAUGUGUUAAGAGAUUUUCAAAUGUUUCAAGUAUUAUUCCCACUGCCAUUUGUACGUUAUUGAAAGUUUAUCUUUAAUUUUAGUGUUAAUAGUUGUUUACCCAUUUAUUCUUUCCAUUUAAUCGUAUUUUACUGCUUCACUAGAAGUGAAGCUGAAGUAAAGACAAAAGCAUAGUGUUCUCAGAUAUGAUUUACCCAGGACAUCUCCUCUGUACCUGGUUCUCUACGAGCCGUUUCACUCCCAGGAAGGGGAGAGCAGGACGUUCUUAUCUAUACACUCCCAAAUACAAAGAGGGGCCCAUUCUUCAGAAUCACACACACACACUCUGAGAUCAUAAACUUCACACACACACACAUACUCUGAAACGCUAUAAAUAAAGAACUGCCACAUACGCUGGUUGUGGGCCUGAGACAGCAGCGCUCACCCAGCGUGCGCACGUUGUUACCAUCUAAACUAGGGGCCCAUUCUUCAGAAUCACACACACACACUCUGAGAUCAUAAACUUCACACACACACACAUACUCUGAAACGCUAUAAAUAAAGAACUGCCACAUACGCUGGUUGUGGGCCUGAGACAGCAGCGCUCACCCAGCGUGCGCACGUUGUUACCAUCUAAACUGUUUUGAGUGUCUUUAUUUCGCCUGAAGAAUGUCUUGUUUAAAUAUUUACUCCUUACAGGAUGUCUUUAAAAACAUAAUUAAAUUUAUGUGGAACGGAACUGUGGGAUGUUCUAGGAAGUGCAUUUCUCGGAGGUGACGCUCCAAACUUCCUGGGGACGCUCGGGAUUUUCCGUUGGACGGGAUAGUCCGAUUGGCGAUCGUGGAGAACUUGGGAACCUCCAAAAUAGCUAGUGGUUGGACCACUUUACCGUUUGGAACGGUUUAUGCACUUAUUUGGGUAGUAAAGGUUGGACCUUGGGCGUUGGACGCUUUUAAAUUGACUUAGGAACUUUAGCAAUUAGACCAGAUACAGGUUGGACCUGAGACUGUCAUUGACGAUCAAAAACUUGGAGUUUGUCCCUUGGAGGGUUAACUUAAAAAUUGUCUAAAUUGUGUAGGUUUUGAAAUGAGAGGCCUAAAAUCUGUGCAGUUGUAAUCAUAGGACGUCUGUGUAAAUAUAUUAAGAGACUUGUCUGAGUCUGAGAGUCAGGCUGGUAUUAUUUUUAGAUUGUGUGUGUGUGAGAAUGCAAAUAAGGCAGCUGAGAGGUCAAUAGAAUAUGAGGAAGUUUAUAGAGACUGCUAGACAUGGCUGAUGCAUGUAUUUAAGACGCUGGAUUUGUUUAUGACAAUAUUGUAAGUAAAGUUUUAUUUCUUGCCAUGACUGUAUGACUUUUUGCUGGGUUUUGAGAUAGGAUACUUAAACUGUUGAUACUUAUGACCGUUAUUUGGGGUCUGAAAACUGAAAUUGACUUUGAAAUAAUUUCAUUAAUAAAUAUGUCUGUAAGUGAUGUCUCUUUUGGUGUCUCCAAGUCAUUUGGACACAUUUGGUGUUUCUCAGGUAUUGACGUAGACUUUGAGUGAUAGAUAUAGGUGUAAGUUGUUUGAUGUUUGUUGGGCUAAGGAGGGGUUUAGCACAUUGUAAGUGGUUUUCUUCCAGUUCCAUAAUAUAUAAGGAGUUAGAUUUGACAGACUUAUUUACACUUUGGGUUUAUGUUAAUAUAGGUUGCAACGGGCACAGAGGAAACACAGUACAACAUCUUAAGGGUUUAAAAUAAUAAUAAAUAAAUGAAUGAAGUUUCUUAAGGGUUCUUGUGUGUGUUUUUAGGGAUAGUUUUUUGUGGGUUUUUAGGGGGAGUGUGUGUUGGUGGUGUUUGUGUGUGUAAAACGGAGAUAACAUGAAAACAGAGGAAAUAGAGACUAGAAUGUCCUAGAAGGCAAUAAAAUGCAAAUUAAGAAGCUGUGAACUGCUUAAACCACAGCUGGUUUCACAAGUACUGGUGCAAACAUUGUUGAAUGCAUGUGUUUAAGACGCCAUUUAUGUUUAUUAGAGGGUUAUAAAUAAAGUUUUGAGUUGCUGUAGUGGAUGUAUAGUAAGUGACUGAAUUUUGAUAGAUGUAUAUAUUGUGAGCCAUAAAGGCUGGUGUGUUUUAUUUUUCAGUUAUGUGUGUGUGGUGAGAAGCUGUGUGUGAGACGAUGAGAGGUUUCAGUUUUUUUUCUUUUUUCUUUUUGACUUGCUCUUUCUGAUUAUGGAAGGUAUGUCCAAGAUACUCGUAUGAAAGCGUAGCUUGAGUGAUUUUAACCGUGUGAAUGCUGUCAGUAUUUGAUUUGAAUGUCUCUGCAUGAGUUGUCUGAGUGAGUGAAAAAGGGAGAAGUUUGAGAGAAAAGGCAGUGUGUGUGAGACGAGUCAUGGCGUCUGAAAGAGGUUAGAACAUUUAAAAGUGGGUAUGAAAUAUAUUUCUUUUGUGAUGUAAAGUAGGAUGUUUUAAAGUUUGAAAGUGCUUGUAAUUCAAGAAAUGCAUGAGUGAUGGUAUGAGAGGUUGAGUUUAUUUUUAUGUUUGAAAGAGCUCUAUUUAAAAGUGUGUGAGAGGAAGGUGUGUGUGUGACUGAUGAUGUCAGGGGAGCACCCAGAGAAAUAGACAGAGUUAAAUUCUAAGAAGAUGAAGCAAAUGCAUGUUUUAAGAAAAAGUAAUAAAGUAAUAAAAUUAUAUUAAUUACAGGGUUUAGAAAAGAGACAGACCGAGAGAAAUAAAUACAUGAACUAACAAUUACAUUAAUGAAUUGAAAACGCACGUACACAAACUGUUACAUGUGAAAUUAUUGUUGGAAAGUUUAAUAAAGAAAGCAGUUUACACUCCUUUAAUUUCCAGAACCAGUGUGUCCCCUAGACCUGAUAACACCCUUGCCCAGUUGGCCCCUGUAGUAGGCGGGCAUGGAAGGCUGGACAGCCCAUGACGGGUAAGAUCCCACCUCGAAACCCUGGGACAACCUAAGGCAAGGCGCAGUCACGAUUGCUUGAACCUAAGUCCCGGAGUGACCUUGGAGUCACUGGAGGAGACGGGAUUUAACAGGUAAGGCCACUGGGCACAGGCGAGGGGAAAGGUCAUUAACAAUGACCAGUGAUGAGCCAGAGAGAGAAAACACACCCUGUCUAAAGGAGUUUGAAACACUGCAAAAGAAACAUUUACAAGAUCACAAGGAUCAUAAAGAAACAUUUAUAAAAAUCACACAUACAAACAGAAAAUGCACUAACCUUACAGAGAUAAGCUCAUGAAGAGUAAUGCAUAGAUAGUGAUUAAAACUUGGCUAGGAACACAAACAUAUGUAAUUAAAUCAGCCUGCUAAUUUCAUGAGGGUUAAAAUGGUGUGAAUGUUGUAGAAAAUAUACUUAAAACACACUUGGAUAAAAUAGAGUUGUUGUGAAAUAACUCAAACGAAGCUGUAUGACAAGGGAGUGAGUUAUGGGAAAAAACAAAAGAAAAGUGAUUAGUGUUUAUAAGAGUGACUCAGGAGUGCUCUUGCACUGAUUGAUCAAAACAAGUGAUUAGUAUAGAAAGAAAAUGAAAAUAAUCGAAUAAUGUGAUAAAGUUUAAACAUGUAUUUAUUUUGCCAAGUUAAGUUGUUGAGAUGUGACUCAGUAUGCAAAUUAGUUCGGGAGCUCAUGUGAGUGCGGACAGAGGACCUUGCUGUGUGUGUGAUUGAGGCCUUAAAGGAGAAGUUGACUGUUCAGAGGUGCAAAUUUGAUUAAGAGGUUUAUAAAUUAGUGUUGACACAUUGUUAUAACGUGUUUAUAUCUUAGGCUGAAUCUGAGUAUGGUAAAGUGCUUAAAGGGGGAUAUUGUUGUGUACGAAACGGUGCAGCUUUUGGCGAGGUUUUCAGUGUGUUGAACGGGUGAAAUUUCAGAUUGUUGAAGAUUUUUGAGGUUGUUGUUUUAUUUUUAAUAGAGGGAGUUUUAAUAAACAUGGACAUGUUUAAGGGUGGUUUGUAACAGUGCACUUAGAAAGAAAAACCUGUCAGGUGAUUUUGUUUUGUACUUUGAUGAGCUAACAAUCAGCUCUCUUUUUUCUCAUUUUUGCUCUAAGCAGGCCUGGAAGAGAGUGAACUGACGGCGCGGACAAAUUACCAAGUAAGGAUUGCAGCGAGUCAAUCCAGUCAAAAGUAUAGAGAACUAUUUUCCUAAAAAGGAAAACGAGAUAAAACAAAUGAUUGAGCUCAUUUUGCUGAUGUGGAGCAUCUGAUGACGUGCGCAGAAGGCUGCAGUAUCAGCAAAAAAUAUCAUGUGUGAAUGCAUGUGAGUGAAUGCGAGUGAUCGGACCAAGAGGGAAAUAAAUAAAAGGUUGACAAACAGGAGGAGUGGAAGACUUAAUUCUGGGGAUGUUGAUGUUUGUUUUGAGAAAAUUAUUUACUGGGGUUGGAUUAUGUUAUUACAUUAUAGAAUGCCAAAUGCUAAAAGGGAAACAUUGUUUGAGGUAACUCAAGUUACCAUUAACUGAGGUAACACAUGAUUAAUAACUGUUCUGUUUAAGUUUAUUUUGUGUUAUAACACAGGUUGGAUCAUAAGUGGGGAAAUUGAGUAUGAAAUGUGAAGUUCUGGUUAACACACAGGUUUUUGUUUCUAGGACGUUCCAAGGAUGCAGGCUGUGGAUGGAGCCAAGAAAAGAUUUGACAUGAUGAUUAAUUUGAUUUCAUUCCUUAAAAACAGGUUUGAAGGUCCGGAGCAUGUAGACUUAAUAUGAUAUGACUAACCUUUUCUUUUAAUGCCAUAACCUGAGUGAAGGAUUUUGAGUUUGUAACACAUGAGAUGUGUCACAAAAAGGGGGGAGUUACAGGAUUUAAGGUUUAAUUUGAAAGGGGUUUUAGGAUUACUUGAUGAUGUUUAGGUUUUUUGAUAAUUUAGGUAUGGUAAAACUGAGGCAGAAAGUGUUAUUUUCAGGUUAUUUUUGAUUUCUAGAAUAAGAGGUUAUAAUUUAGGCGUGCACAUACAGAUAUGUCAAAGGAAAAUUGUAUAUAUGUGAUUAGCUACAUGAAAUGUGCUCUUUUAGGGUUACUAAGCAAAUGUCUACGUGACUUUUACCUAAUAACUUAUGUGAUGAUAAAGUUGUUUACCGACUAGCAGCUUGCUCUCUUGUAGAACAUACAGACUUAGAAAAGGGGAACUUAAGCUCUGAGUUCUGAGAAUAACUCUGGUAUUUUUGUAAGUAGACAGGAAACACGUAGAGACCGCCGUAUAAGGGAAAUGUGUUAGAGCUUGUAAUUAAAUGCGGGCUUGAAAAGAGGAAGCAAAUUUGGUACAGGACGUGCUUGAGAUGAUCAGAUGAGAGAAGGGCAAGGUCAGGAAUAGUUUAAACUAAGAUUGAGAAAUUAAAUUGGGUGAAAGGGGGGUGUAGCAAGUAGAUUCAGGGCAGCUCACAGCCCGGCGUAAACGCAAGGUGC